CAACGCCGCGUGAGUGAUGACGGUCUUCGGAUUGUAAAGCUCUGUCUUUGGGGACGAUAAUGACGGUACCCAAGGAGGAAGCCACGGCUAACUACGUGCCAGCAGCCGCGGUAAUACGUAGGUGGCGAGCGUUAUCCGGAAUUAUUGGGCGUAAAGGGAGCGUAGGCGGAUAAUUAAGUGGGAUGUGAAAUACUCAGGCUCAACCUGGGGGCUGCAUUCCAAACUGAUUAUCUAGAGUGCAGGAGAGGAGAGUGGAAUUCCUAGUGUAGCGGUGAAAUGCGUAGAGAUUAGGAAGAACACCAGUGGCGAAGGCGACUCUCUGGACUGUAACUGACGCUGAGGCUCGAAAGCGUGGGGAGCAAACAGGAUUAGAUACCCUGGUAGUCCACGCCGUAACGAUGAAUACUCGUGUGGGGUUCACACCUCGUGCGCGCUAACGGCAUA
RNAcentral lists this ribosomal RNA (444 nucleotides) under bacterium. RNAcentral describes it as "bacterial SSU rRNA". It matches the Rfam family "Bacterial small subunit ribosomal RNA", at positions 392 to 862 of the family's 1533-position model. The record is from RNAcentral.